This 65-nucleotide transfer RNA is filed under the name Acanthobothrium sp. MZUSP 8033. RNAcentral's name for it is "tRNA-Ile". RNAcentral also lists the same sequence under 2 other names. The record is from RNAcentral. Lineage: Eukaryota; Metazoa; Platyhelminthes; Cestoda; Tetraphyllidea; Onchobothriidae.
GCCAAUAGGGCUGCUUAGCAGGCUACUUUGAUAUAGUAGAUUGUGAAUUGUUUAUUUCGUUGGUA